This 74-nucleotide transfer RNA is filed under the name Loxodonta africana (African savanna elephant). It matches the Rfam family "tRNA". From Rfam's summary of the family: Transfer RNA (tRNA) molecules are approximately 80 nucleotides in length. Their secondary structure includes four short double-helical elements and three loops (D, anti-codon, and T loops). Lineage: Eukaryota; Metazoa; Chordata; Mammalia; Proboscidea; Elephantidae. The record is from Rfam by way of RNAcentral.
CCCUGGGUGGUGCAAAUGGUUAGCACUCUUGGCUGCUAACCGAGAGGUUGUAGGUUUGAGUCCAGCCAUAGGCC